GUCCUUCUCUGCAUAGAAUUUGGGAGCUCAUCUAGCUAACCACUGGGGAUGGCCAAAAACAACAAAUCAGAUAGAAGAGGCAAAGGACUGGAUGGAUCACAAAGAUAUGUCACAGUCCAGGUUUACUUGGUUCCCCCACCAGCUAUGUGGCCUGCUUGACCAUUCUUGAAAUAACAGACUCCUGGAUAUAAAUUUGUCUACUGGUGCAGUGUGAAGUCAUUCAUGGGGCCACAUGGACCUUGUCUAGUCACAUUCCAGGCCAUUUUUGGAACAUUUUGGGGAAACGCAUCAUCGCUCUGCUGGUGGGAGACAAGUCUGUGUCUCUGCCUGAGGCUGGCAGCCAAUGCAUCUACGCCCUUGACUGCACAUGAAAACAUCUCCUGCCAUCUCUGCCAGGCAUCCCACUACACACACACAGAAGAGGGGAGCAGAAUUAAAUGCUCAUCCAAAAAAAAAAAAUCAGGGAGAAAACAACCACCUCCUAAAUGUGUAUCUCUCUGGAAAACAAGGAAAGAAAGUUAUUUGGAUACAGCCUUCUCAGAACUAAUUUUUAGAUCUCCUGGACUAUUCACUGAAGGUCACCCACUCAGUGCUUUGUGA
Molecule: long non-coding RNA, 600 nt
Filed under: Vulpes vulpes (red fox)
Lineage: Eukaryota; Metazoa; Chordata; Mammalia; Carnivora; Canidae
Description: lncRNA (ENSVVUG00000027751.1)
Source: RNAcentral